Non-coding RNA from Procambarus clarkii (red swamp crayfish), 767 nucleotides. The record is from RefSeq and is a predicted model, not a curated record. NCBI's taxonomy places the organism in Eukaryota, Metazoa, Arthropoda, Malacostraca, Decapoda, Cambaridae.
GUGCUUCGGAGCUCAUUAACUGUUUAAUAAUUGUAAACAAAACUGCCAAAGAUUGAGAAAAGAUGUACAGGUUCGUAAGUGUUUACAUAAGUGCUUUCGUGAAUCUGGCCCCCUGGUCCCUAAAGUGUGCGUCUGCUUUUUAUUUAAUGCCAAUGAGGCUAUUCCAUUCCCGUAUUUUCUCUAGUGGGAUUCACUCACAAACGGAGGAGACAUGCACUACGUACAGGAGAACGGUAGACUAUUAGGCCAGAACCUCUGUGACAUUGUGGCUGCACAAGGAAUUACCAAUUUGGAACCACAAAAGCUGCACAUGGUGUACAAUCUGUGCAACUCAGAAUGGCAGGAGGAAGGCAUAGCUUCUCAAGACUUGUUGUGCUGUGUAGAUGGUGUUUACCCUGGGGAUUGUUAAGGUCACCUGCUCCUUAACUCCCACUUGUUGACCGCAGCAGCCCCUUGACACCGCCCGCACCUUUCAUUUCCUACGGUAACUACCUCAAGCUGCAGUUGUUACUCCAGAGUCAACCCACAACCGUAUCCCACAUUUCAAAUCUUGGUUCAUUUAUUCACAGAUCUGCUGGAAAUAGAACUGCGUCUGCUCCCGGUACUGCUGAAAAUCUGUAGUAUGUGUUCUCGCUCUAUGAACACUUAACUGAAAUAGCUAUUCACUAUCAUCACUUGAAAUAAAGUUUUAAUACUUUAUUGUCAAUGGAUACGAACACUCGUCAGUAACUGUUAUCAUCCCACAAUAAUAAAACUGGCCAUGUUAA